RNAcentral lists this ribosomal RNA (521 nucleotides) under uncultured bacterium. RNAcentral describes it as "bacterial SSU rRNA". It matches the Rfam family "Bacterial small subunit ribosomal RNA", at positions 26 to 518 of the family's 1533-position model. The record is from RNAcentral.
AGGACGAACGCUGGCGGCGUGCCUAAUACAUGCAAGUCGAAACGGUCUUUUCUAUGGAAGCUUGCUUCCACUGAAAAGAUAGUGGCGAACGGGUGAGUAACACGUGGGUAACCUGCCCAUAGGAGGGGGAUAACAUCCGGAAACGGGUGCUAAUACCGCAUAGUUUUCUUGAUCGCAUGAUCGGGAAAGGAAAGACGGCCUUUGUGCUGUCGCUUAUGGAUGGACCCGCGGCGUAUUAGUUAGUUGGUGAGGUAACGGCUCACCAAGACGAUGAUACGUAGCCGACCUGAGAGGGUGAUCGGCCACAUUGGGACUGAGACACGGCCCAAACUCCUACGGGAGGCAGCAGUAGGGAAUCUUCCGCAAUGGACGAAAGUCUGACGGAGCAACGCCGCGUGAGUGAAGAAAGGUUUUCGGAUCGUAAAACUCUGUUGUCAGAGAAGAACAAGUUGGAGAGUAACUGCUCCAGCCUUGACGGUAUCUGACCAGAAAGCCACGGCUAACUACGUGCCAGCCGCAGC